RNAcentral lists this ribosomal RNA (384 nucleotides) under uncultured prokaryote. Its description in RNAcentral is "bacterial SSU rRNA". It matches the Rfam family "Archaeal small subunit ribosomal RNA", at positions 341 to 725 of the family's 1478-position model. The record is from RNAcentral.
GCGAAAACUUUACAAUGCCGGCAACGGCGAUAAGGGGACCUCGAGUGCCAGGUUACAAAUCUGGCUGUCGUGAUGCCUAAAAAGCAUUUCAUAGCAAGGGCCGGGCAAGACCGGUGCCAGCCGCCGCGGUAACACCGGCGGCUCGAGUGGUAACCGUUAUUAUUGGGUCUAAAGGGUCUGUAGCCGGCCGGAUAAGUCUCUUGGGAAAUCCAGCAGCUUAACUGUUGGGCUUUCAGGAGAUACUGUCUGGCUCGAGGCCGGGAGAGGUGAGAGGUACUUCAGGGGUAGGGGUGAAAUCUUGUAAUCCUUGAAGGACCACCAGUGGCGAAGGCGUCUCACCAGAACGGACCUGACGGCAAGGGACGAAAGCUAGGGGCACGAACA